UGGUGGAGUGAUCUGUCUGGUUAAUUCCGAUAACGAACGAGACCUUAACCUGCUAAAUAGUCACGCAAAUUCAUUUUUGAUUUGCGGCCGACUUCUUAGAGGGACUUUCGGUGACUAACCGAAGGAAGUUUGAGGCAAUAACA
Molecule: ribosomal RNA, 143 nt
Filed under: uncultured eukaryote
Lineage: Eukaryota
Description: partial 18S ribosomal RNA
Rfam family: Eukaryotic small subunit ribosomal RNA
Source: RNAcentral